AGAUCGUGUGCAGAAACUUCCCUCUGGAACGCACCGUUGACUUCCUGAUGGCCAUCAAGGAGACCUUGCGGAAAGGCAAAGGAAUGCGUGUGCGUGCAGCUGGGAAGUGGAUGACCACCUUUCUGCAGAUGUACGGGAAGGACAUCUGUCGGGACGUGCUACCAAUCCUCCACAUCCUACGCAGCUGCACAUCAUCCACGCAGCAGAGCACGUUCAUGCCCUUCCUGUGCCAGGCGGUGGUCAUCCUCAUCCGCUGUCACCAAGAGGUCGUAAUUGACAACUUCUCCCGGCUGCUUGGGCCCACAGACAGUGAGAUGUGGAAAAGAAUAAGAGAGUUUUGUCUUCAACGGUGGAGCCGAUAGAAGAAAAAAAGAGGAGAGAAGAGAAGAGAAGAAAGGAAAAGAAGAAACAGAAGGAGAGGCAAGGCGAGGAGAGGAGAGGAGGAGGAAUAAGAGAAGGAAAAGGGGAAGGAGAGGGAAGGAGAAAAGGAAAAGAAAGAGAGAAGAGAAGAGAAGCGAAGAGAAGAGAAGAAAGGAAAAGAAGAAACAGAAGGAGAGGCAAGGCGAGGAGAGGAGAGGAGGAGGAAUAAGAGAAGGAAAAGGGGAAGGAGAGGGAAGGAGAAAAGGAAAAGAAAGAGAGAAGAGAAGAGAAGCGAAGAGAAGAGAAGAAAGGAAAAGAAGAAACAGAAGGAGAGGCAAGGCGAGGAGAGGAGAGGAGGAGGAAUAAGAGAAGGAAAAGGGGAAGGAGAGGGAAGGAGAAAAGGAAAAGAAAGAGAGAAGAGAAGAGAAGCGAAGAGAAGAGAAGAAAGGAAAAGAAGAAACAGAAGGAGAGGCAAGGCGAGGAGAGGAGAGGAGGAGGAAUAGGAGAAGGAAAAGGGGAAGGAGAGGGAAGGAGAAAAGGAAAAGAAGGAGAGGAGAGAAGAGAAGAGAAGAGAAGAGAAGAGAAGAGAAGAGAAGAGAAGAGAAGGGAAGAGCUAAAAUUAUGUAUUAUUUAUUUAAAAAAAUUAAAUGUCAGAAUCCUGGCUAAGAAGUGAAAAGAGUAUUCAUUUUAUUAGCUU
RNAcentral lists this long non-coding RNA (1057 nucleotides) under Chrysolophus pictus (golden pheasant). Its description in RNAcentral is "lncRNA (ENSCPIG00010006656.1)". Lineage: Eukaryota; Metazoa; Chordata; Aves; Galliformes; Phasianidae. The record is from RNAcentral.